This 3717-nucleotide long non-coding RNA is filed under the name Triticum aestivum (bread wheat). Its description in RNAcentral is "long non-coding RNA (TAES_LNC022940)". The record is from RNAcentral. Lineage: Eukaryota; Viridiplantae; Streptophyta; Magnoliopsida; Poales; Poaceae.
UGUCUCGCUGUCAACCACAUGCAAGCUUUCUCCUUGCUUUAGGUGAGAGCAUUUAUUUCAUCGCCUUUUUAGCUUGAUCAGAUUGCAAGUUUGAUAGGUUUCCCUAACCCGGGUUAGGAACCCUUUGAUUUUGGUUCCUUGCUAUAACUCUGUAUGCAAUUUUGUUUCUCUGUCCAUUCUUAGCUACAAAUGCUUAUUUAUAAACAGAUGGAUGCACGGUUCAUUGUAGUCUUGCAGUUUGGAAUACCAAAAAAAGCAUUUGUUUGAGUGGUAUAGCGUUUAGAUGUCAUUUUCUUGUUUGCUGUUUUUAUCGCCUUUUAUUGUCGUGCUAUGAGUUGAUAUGAAUCAGCUAGCUAUUGUCUAAUUGUUGAAAUACCACCCUUUCGAGCAGCCCUUAAACACAGAAUAAGGAAACGAGGAUAUUUCGGAGUCCCAGUUUCACUGCCUUCGUGGAUGCUGGAGCCACUACCACCUUUACUAUGUGUGUGGUUAGGGUAUAGAUCAAACUACAAUUCAACAAUGAUCAUCUACACCAUCAGAUCUGCGACUAUAAAACUCCAUGCUAAUGUUCCAUAUUCCUCUUCUCUGCUAAUUUUUAGAGUUUAUCCUUCUAUGAAUUACCUAAUUUCAGUAACAACUGACAAAUAUCAGUCUAUUUGUUAACAUCUCCAUCUCCAUCAAGGUUUUUAAAUUGACUUAAGAGUAUGUAUGUGCCCCUAUCAUUUUUUUGGUUCGUCAACAGAUGAAGUAAUCAACCGUUCGAAUGAGGGAUUAGGAGUACAUCAUCUAAAAUAUUGUUGUUUCCAGUUAAAUGUGUACCGAUAAAUUUAACUAUCAAAAUCAUUGUACUGAGAAAAAAAUUUGUUCUUAUUUGCAGGCAUUGUGUGGCGAUAAACACAUGACCAGCAAGGGGCCCUGCCCCCUCCCAAUACUAUGGAUUUGUUCAUAAUAAACACAUGAACAGUGCAGCAUUUGACUUGUUUUCUGCUCCAACCGGCCCUCCCCAACAUCCUAAUCCCAUUAAUCCCCUCCUCCACUGCAGGCAUGCCGGCCUUUUCUUAAUUGCUAUACUUUUGAGGACGCAUCACUAAAAAAACUACAAGAGGUACCACAAGUCUGUAAAACCCUUAUUACAUUUUUGCAUAUGUACAGAAGUGAAAAAUAGAAGUGAAUUUAGCUAUAUACUUUGAAAAUUGUAGUGGUUUUGCAUGUCUAAUAAUUUUUUUUGUUAUGAUAUUAUUUUGUUCGCCGGUAUUUAAUCCUUGGGGAUUUUUAUCUUUCCCAUUCAGAGUAGUCCAAUUGAUACUUCCGAUGGACACAUGACAGGUUGGUGAUGAUGUCAUCUAAUCCAUAUUGGAAGGUUUAAUAAUGUACUUGAACACUAAAACUAUAUAAUGGAUGGUUCUAGAUGGGGGCAGGGAUCCUCUAUUUCCUUUACCAAAUGGAGUCGGUCAUAAUCACAUGUUGUCUGACCUUAUCUCUAUGCUCUCUUCACCUUAUUCUUUGCAUCAUUUCACCGGUACAAGUCAUCAGAUGGGUAUUACUGUUUCCAGUAUGUUGUGUGUCGGUGGCCUGAAGCACAAGCUACUCACUAUACUAUAUAGUACUGUGCUACAACUGUGAAUUUUGCAAUCCUGGUAUACCCUAAUUUGAGGUGAUUUAUAUGCCAGGUUAUCCUAAUCUUUAUGUAUCUGAUGCUAAAACCAUCAUGUUUGCUUGCAGAGAUUCAGUUAAGACUUAAAUUAACAAUUAUGUAUCCGAAGACUGACAUUUGAGAUUAGAGGUUUCAUGGCAAUGAUGGAGUGCUACCAAAUUAUGUUCCAAGAAAAAUGAUUUCUGCCUCAACUUGACUACAUGUACGUGACUUGCAGUCAGUAUGAAGUUCAUUACACUACUAAUAUUAAUUUCCUCAUCUCCUUUAUUUAGCUAUUUGUCUAUAGUCAACUCACAUCACUCGACAUCCAGGCCCGGCCCUGAGGGGGGGCAGGGGGGGCGGCCGCCCCGGGCCCCCGGAAUCAGGGGGCCCCCAUUUAUGUAUGUAUGUCAUGUAUAUUACUAGUCGAUUUGGCCCAGCACACAGCCCAAACGGGAGGUCAGCAGGCGGCAAGACACACAGCCCUCUGAUGACGCAUAGAUUAGAUCGUGCCCCGCGGCAGUUGCCCAUCGCCGGCCACGCCGAGAAGCCGAGCCGCAAGGGCUGAUUCAAUGAUUUUUGCCGGCGUCAGCAGACGACAUGCCCCAUGAUUGUUCCGGGAGUACGUCGGCCACGCAGCCGCCGAGACAUCAGACAUCCCUAGUCCGCGCACCUUGCCUUUAUCCUCCUUCAGUACAUGUGGUAAUGCAUCUCUCUUAUUUCCCGUUUCUGAAAAAAGGAACCCAUCUCCAAGGUGCUUCUCGAGACUGUUGUUUCUUGUAUUAGCGAUCUAGUUGGAUGGUACAUUGAAACGACAAAGGAGGAUUUCUUAAGUAUUGUGAUUGUUAGGGUUCAGUUUUGGCACUGAUUGUGUGUAACUGCUCACAACUUUGGAGAUAUGAUUGCAUAACUUUACAUUCUGUAGACAUUGCCAAGGAUCUCUUGAUUCUGAAUAAUGCCCAGAAUCAGACGAACUAUAUGUACAUGAUUUAUCAGUCUCCCAAUUAGUCCAGAAAUUUUCACAUUGUGUUCUGCAAUGACCUCGUUUGUGGGCCACUAUAUAGGAGAUUUACAUCAAUGGAAUUUUUAGAGGCCCAAGUGUAUCACUAAUUGAUUUGAACUUCUAUGUAUAUCAGUAUAUGGCUACUAUUUUAUGGCUGUGAGCCUAUGGCACCACGUCAUUGGAAGUUUUAGAGGCCCAUGUAAAUUGCUAAUUGAUUUGAACUUCUAUGUAUAUAGAGUACAUAUUAUUUUGGUAGCCAAGAAUUAGCUUAUAUAAAUCUUCAUUCUUGUAAUCAAGUUCAUGGUUGUGACACUAUGCAUUUUCAGGCAUUUCAACCGGAUGCAAUUCCAGUAUGUGCACUCAUGUGGGAAAAAAUUUAGUUAUGCACUCUCAAGUUUCAUAUUUCCUAGUAUACAUUGCAUGAUUUUGCUUACCCUCUCUAUAUGGAUCUUUUUUAUAUACUUUUGAUUUUUUUUCAGGAUAGAUUAUUGGUGGAUAGAUCAACUCUUGCACACCUAAUAUAUGGAGUUUUACUUGUGUCCGGCUUCACAAGAGGUGUGUGAAAAUUUAUCUUUCAUCUCAACAUCGCCGCUACAUAUUCCUUGCAGUGAGUAACUUAAGUUUCUCGACAAAUUAAUUAUCAUAUACUACAUAGUUUUUUUUAUCUUAUACAUAGUUGUUAAAUGCAAUUUAAGCAUGCUUAUUAGUAUUUUGAUGGUGUACAAACACGUGGUUACCAUUUUUAGAAAAGGGCCCCGGGUUCUAGUUUCGCCCCGGGCCCCCGAAAUCUCAGGACCGGCCCUGUCGACAUCUACAGGCAUGUUGAAUUGUUGACCCGAUUUGACGGACUAUAUAAGUGCUCUUCUCCUUGGGAAUUUGAAAGCACGCCCCUUCUAAGCAUCGCACAAUAUAUAGGCUUAUAUACGUGGUAGCAGUCAUUUUACAAGCAUGUGUGCAUUAGACCAGAAAAGGGGUAAAUUGCCUUUGAUACUGAUCUGGUACCCCCUAUAAGCGUAUGAUAUUAAAUAGGUUUCUAUUGAUUCAUCAACAGAGAAUUUAUGUCAAUUGAUUUAAUGUCGAU